Molecule: long non-coding RNA, 634 nt
Filed under: Mus caroli (Ryukyu mouse)
Lineage: Eukaryota; Metazoa; Chordata; Mammalia; Rodentia; Muridae
Description: predicted gene, 44366 (MGP_CAROLIEiJ_G0034604.1)
Source: RNAcentral
AGGCAGAGUCCACAGCGGAGUAGGACUAGAACUGUGAAAUUGCUGAAGAACAUAAUCUGCAGAGUUGGGUAGAAAGAUAGGAGAACUAGGGUAGAGAAAGAAGCAGGUUGAAAGUCAUGGGAACCUUAAAGGGGGCUGGAAUGAUGUAGUCAACUGGAAGAGUGUGAAACUAAAACUAGCAUGCAUGAAGCCAUGGGAUUAGUCCCUGUCAUUGAUGAUGCAUAUGUCAUUCCAGGCUUACAUAGAGAGCCCUCAAGGCUAGCCUGGGCUACAUGAGACCCUGUGUCAAAAACCAAAUCAAAACCUAGCCAAAAUACUCUUAACUAGUAAUGUGUUAUAAGUAAAAAUAUUCAGGAAGAUUAAUGGGAUUACUCACAUUUUAGUUUAGGAAUAAAAGAAUCAACAUAUACAAGAUGUUUUUAAAGGAACAAUGAAGAAUAAAAAUUAAUUUGCUUCAUGGGAAUACCCAAAUUCACAUUUUUGAUAAGGUCACUGGACGGAUUAGUUACCCAGUUAUUUAAACCAUUCACUUCUUUUGUUUGGUCCUCAAUGGGCUUAUAAGUGAUAAUGAGUUUGAGGACAGUGUAACCCAAACAAAACUAAACAAGUAGAUAAUACUUAUUCAGCUUACGGU